CCUCUCUCAUGUAGCUGUACUAGACUGGUUCUUCCUCCUCCUCUCUAAUGUAGCUUUACUCCACUGGUUCUCCCUCCUCCUCCUCUCUAAUGUAUCUAUGCUUGACUGGUUCUCCCUCCUCCUCCUCUCUAAUGUAGCUGUACUAGACUGGUUCACCCUCCUGCUCCUCCUCUCUAAUGUAGCUAUACUAGAGUGAUUCUCCCUCCUCCUCCUCUCUAAUGUAUCUAUACUAUACUGGUUCUCCCUCCUUCUACUCUUUCAUGUAGCUGUACUAGACGGGUUCUCCCUCCUCCUUUCUAAUGUAUCUAUACUAGACUGGUUCUCCCUCCUCCUCUCUAAUGUAGCUAUACUAGACAGGUUCUCCCCCCUUCUCUUUAAUGUAGCUGUACUAGACUGGUUCUCCCUUCUCCUCCUCUCUAAGGCAUCUAUACUAGACUGGUUGUCCCUCCUCCUCCUCUCUAAUGUAGCUAUACUUGACUUGUUCUCCCUCCUCUUCCUCUCUAAUGUAGCUAUACUAGACUGGUUCUUUCUCCUCUUUAAUGCAGCUGUACUAGACUGGUUCUACCUCCUCCUCUCUGAUGUAGCUGUACUAGACUGGUUCUCCCUCCUCCUCUCUAUUGUAGCUAUACUAAACUGCUUCUCCUUCCUCCUCCUCUCUAAUGUAGCUGUACUAGACUGGUUAUUCCUCCUCCUCUCUAAUGUGGCUGUACUCCACUGGUUCUCCCUCCUCCUCCUCUCUAAUGUAUCUAUGCUUGACUGGUUCUCCCUCCUCCUCCUCUCUAAUGUAGCUGUACUAGACUGGUUCUCCCUCCUCCUCCUCUCUAAUGUAGCUGUACUAUAGUGCUUCUCCCUCCUCCUCCUCCUCUCUAAUGUAUCUAUGCUUGACUGCUUCUCCCUCCUCCUCCUCUCUAAUGUAGCUGUACUAGACUGGUUCUCCCUCCUGCUCCUCCUCUCUAAUGUAGCUGUACUAGACUGGUUCUCCCUCAUCCUCCUCUCUAAUGUAGCUGUACUAUAGUGGUUCUCCCUCCUCCUCCUCUCUAAUGUAUUUAUACUAGACUGGUUGUCCCUCCUCCUCUCUAAUGUAGCUAUACUAGACUGGUUCUCCCUCCUCCUCUCUAAUGUAUCUAUACUAUACUGGUUCUCCAUUCUCCUUCUCUCUAAGGUAUCUAUACUAUACUGGUUUUCCUUCCUCCUCCUCUCUAAUGUAGCUAUACUAGACUGGUUCUCCCUCCUCCUCCUCUCUAAUAUAGCUAUACUAGACUGGUUCUCCCCUCUCCUCUCUAAUGUAGCUAUACUAGACUGGUUCUCCCUCCUCCGCCUUUCUAAUGUAGCUAUAGUAGACUGGUUGUCCCUCCUCCUCCUACUCCUCCUCCUUGCUAAUGUAGCUGUACUGGACUGGUUCUCCCUCCUGCUCCUCCUCUCUAAUGUAGCUGUACUAGACUGGUUCUCCCUCAUCCUCCUCUCUAAUGUAGCUGUACUAUAGUGGUUCUCCCUCCUCCUCCUCUCUAAUGUAUUUAUACUAGACUGG
Oncorhynchus tshawytscha (Chinook salmon) is the source of this 1528-nucleotide long non-coding RNA. The record is from Ensembl. NCBI's taxonomy places the organism in Eukaryota, Metazoa, Chordata, Actinopteri, Salmoniformes, Salmonidae.